RNAcentral lists this ribosomal RNA (2871 nucleotides) under compost metagenome. Its description in RNAcentral is "bacterial LSU rRNA". It matches the Rfam family "Bacterial large subunit ribosomal RNA". The record is from RNAcentral.
UUAAGGGCGUAUGGUGGAUGCCUUGGCUCUGAGAGGCGACGAAGGACGUGGUAAGCUGCGAUAAGCUGCGGGGAGCUGCACACAAGCGUUAUAUCCGCAGAUUUCCGAAUGGGACAACCCGGCACACUGAAGGUGUGUCACUCCGCAAGGAGAGCCAACCCAGGGAACUGAAACAUCUAAGUACCUGGAGGAAAAGAAAACAAUAGUGAUUCCCCAAGUAGUGGCGAGCGAAAAGGGAACAGCCCAAACUUCAGCAGCGUGCUGCUGGAGGGUUGUAGGACUGCAUUUAGAAACCAAUCUCAAGCUGAAUCUUCUGGAAAGUUGAACCAUAGAAGGUGAUAGUCCUGUAGGCGCAAAUGAUUGGGGACGAGCAGUAUCCUGAGUAAGGCGGGACCGGAGGAAUCCUGCCUGAAUCUGCCGGCACCAUCCGGUAAGGCUAAAUACUCCUCAGAGACCGAUAGUGAACCAGUACCGUAAGGGAAAGGUGAAAAGCACCCUAAACAAGGGAGUGAAAUAGUACCUGAAACCGUACGCUUACAAGCGGUCGGAGCCCAGCAAUGGGUGACGGCGUGCCUUUUGCAUAAUGAACCUACGAGUUGCUCCUCACUGGCGAGGUUAAGCUAUUGAAUAGCGGAGCCGUAGCGAAAGCGAGUCCGAAUAGGGCGAUUAGUCAGUGGGGGCAGACGCGAAACUUUGUGAUCUAUCCAUGGGCAGGUUGAAGGUUAGGUAAAACUAACUGGAGGACCGAACUCAUUAACGUUGAAAAGUUAUGGGAUGACCUGUGGAUAGGGGUGAAAGGCCAAUCAAACUGAGAGAUAGCUCGUUCUCCCCGAAAUGUUUUUAGGAACAGCGUCACAUAUAGAAGUAUGAUAGAGGUAGAGCUACUGAUUGGGCUAGGGGGCUUCACCGCCUACCAAACCCUGACAAACUCCGAAUGCUAGCAAAUUUCUCCGGGAGUGAGGCUGCGGGUGCUAAGAUCCGUGGCCGAGAGGGAAAUAACCCAGAUUAGCAGCUAAGGUCCCUAAGCGUAUGUUAAGUUGAUCAAACGAGGUGGGGCUUCUAUAACAGCCAGGAUGUUGGCUUGGAAGCAGCCAUUCAUUUAAAGAGUGCGUAACAGCUCACUGGUCGAGAGGCCCUGCACGGAAAAUGAUCGGGCAUCAAACAUACCACCGAAGCUCUAAAAUCUAUAGCAAUAUAGAUUGGUAGGGGAGCAUUCCAAUCUGCUGCGAAGGUGAUAGGCGACUAUUGCUGGAGCGUUUGGAAAAGAAAAUGUAGGUAUAAGUAGCGAUAAAAGUAGUGAAAAACUACUUCACCGUAAGACUAAGGGUUCCUGAUCAACGUUAAUCGGAUCAGGGUUAGUCGGGUCCUUAGGCAAACCCGAAAGGGGUAGCUGAUGGAAAACUGGUUAAUAUUCCAGUACCUGCUUUAGUUUCGAUGGGGUGACGAGGUAGUGAAAGGCCCGCCCGGUAACGGUAUACCGGGUUAAAGCGUGUAGUUAUAUCCUGUACAGGUAAAUCCGUAUGGGAUGGCGAACGUGAUAGUACCUGGAGGCUUCGGCUGAAGGGAUAGUGGCCCUAAUCAAACCUCCAAGAAAAACCUCUAAGGCAUGGCUAAAGCGGCCCGUACCGCAAACCGACACAGGUAGUCGAGGCGAAUAGCCUAAGGUGCUCGGGUGAGCCGCGGAGAAGGAACUAGGCAAAUUGUGGCUGUAACUUCGGGAUAAAGCCAGCCGGUCAGCAAUGCCCGGCCUCAGUAAAAUGGUUCAACCAACUGUUUAACAAAAACACAGGGCCCUGCAAAAUCGUAAGAUGACGUAUAGAGCCUGAUACCUGCCCGGUGCUGGAAGGUUAAGGAAGGGUGUUCGGCGCAAGCCAAAGCUCCUGACUGAAGCCCCAGUAAACGGCGGCCGUAACUAUAACGGUCCUAAGGUAGCGAAAUUCCUUGUCGGGUAAGUUCCGACCUGCACGAAUGGUCUAAUGAGUUGAACACUGUCUCCUCCACGAGCCCGGUGAAAUUGUAGUAUCGGUGAAGAUGCCGGUUACCCGUCACGGGACGGAAAGACCCCGUGAACCUUCACUACAACUUUGCAUUGAUUUUGAGCAAACGAUGUGUAGAAUAGUUGGGACGCUUUGAAGCGGUGCCGCCAGGUGCCGUGGAGCGGUCGUUGAAAUACCAACCUUCGUUUGCUUAGAGUCUAAUCCCUAACGGGAAACAGUGCAUGGUGGGUAGUUUGACUGGGGUGGUCGCCUCCUAAAAAGUAACGGAGGCUCGCAAAGGUUCCCUCAGUACGGUUGGUAAUCGUACAUAGAGCGUAUUAGUAUAAGGGAGCUUGACUGUGAGACAGACAAGUCUAGCAGGUGCGAAAGCAGGCUAAAGUGAUCCGGUGGUUCUGUAUGGAAGGGCCAUCGCUCAAAGGAUAAAAGGUACUCCGGGGAUAACAGGCUGAUCUCCCCCAAGAGCUCAUAUCGACGGGGAGGUUUGGCACCUCGAUGUCGGCUCGUCACAUCCUGGGGCUGGAGAAGGUCCCAAGGGUUCGGCUGUUCGCCGAUUAAAGUGGCACGUGAACUGGGUUCAGAACGUCGCAAGACAGUUCGGUCCCUAUCUGUGAUGGGCGUUAGAAUAUUGAGUGGACAUGACCUUAGUACGAGAGGACCGGGUCGUACGGACCGCUGGUGUAUCUGUUGUGCCGCCAGGUGCAGCGCAGAGUAGCUAUGUCCGGCCAGGAUAAACGCUGAAAGCAUCUAAGCGUGAAACCUUCCACGAGAUGAGUAUUCUUUUAAGGGUCGUAGUAGACGACUACGUUGAUAGGCUACAGGUGUAAAGCUGGUAACAGCAAAGCCGAGUAGUACUAAUUACCCGUACGCUUUAAUU